Molecule: long non-coding RNA, 4023 nt
Organism: Onychostruthus taczanowskii (white-rumped snowfinch)
Lineage: Eukaryota; Metazoa; Chordata; Aves; Passeriformes; Passeridae
Exons: 2
Source: RefSeq, a predicted model, not a curated record
GAGAGAGCAAGGAGACUGAGUAGCGUGGGCUUUGCUUUUCCCCUCUUGAAGUGAAUUUUUGAGGUCUUGAUUUGGGCUUGACUCCACUUACCCGAUUAGUCAAGAGCACUCGCGUGAAAACUUGGUGGCGUGUUCGCUACAGAUUUAAUUUAGGAUCCCAGUUUUCCCGUUCUCAGAUCCAUUUGAAAGACACAGUACUGCGACAGCAAUGGUGUGCUUUGUCCUUUUUUAGUUAUUUUGUUUGACUUCAAUGGACUCCGUAACAAUGCGAUUCACAGUUGUGAGCACCUGUCAAACCCGUGACAGGCUUGCGUGCCCGUCCCACCUUUGCCAUGGCUGCGGCAGCUCUGAGCAGCAGGCGCUCUGUUUUGGGGCUGGAUCUGGGGCUGGACUGGGCUGCCCUGCUUUUUGUCACUCAACACACUUCGAUACCGCUCCCCAGGCUCGCAUGUAGAUCCCGUCUGGCUAAUAGCAGCCAACAGGGACUUGUGCAGAAAUGUUUUUGCUUAAAAUAGACUGAUGACUUCUUUUCACACAACCAACGAGUCUAAAACCGGGACGAAGGAGGAGUUAAAAUACUUGCUGAUGCUGUGUUUAUCAGGAGAACUUUGGUAACACCUUUGAGUCAUGCACUGUGAAGUGAAAGAUGGUGUCCGUCUCGUACACGGUUCUGUAUUUUCAGAUUUGGGUCUGGUUUGGAUGACCCGUCUCACUGAGGAGUGACGCUGCCAUACAGAGAGGGUGUCUGCAGUAACAAACAGAAACAAGUGCCUUAGUUCAGCUCUCCUUAUGUUACAUUUUGCACCACAUUUCUCAAGUAUUUAUAAUUUAUACAGCUUUUUUGCUACAUAUUUUUCUGUAUUUGUAUGUUGCUGGGAAAGGACUUUGUUGUGCACACAGCUGGACUUCAUGGCGCUGGACACUUGAAUUGAUUUUAUAGUCUUCACUCUUGCACUGCAAGCCUAGAGGUUGACUACUACUGGGUGUCCCAACUCUUGAAAUUAAGCAAAAACUACCAAUGCAAAUGGGUUUGUAAGAAUAAAAAAAAAGUUUUAAAAAAAGCCAUAAAGCUCACCAUUACACUUACUUUCUUCCUUUUUUAAUUUUUUUUUUUCUAUUUAGCAAAAUGUAACAGCAGGCUUCACAGUUUUGCAACCUGUGGUGUGUGUGCCCUGACCAGGGAUGAUCCCAUCUGUCUGUAAGCGAUGUUUAGGGCUGUAGCUGACAAUGACUGCGGUCCUGCCACAGCCAUGAGGCAAAUGACCCUUAUCUCAAAAUAUGGGUUAUUUUUGGUUAAUGAAGAACAAUUGCCAGAAUGCAGAAGAUGCCCUGAAAUGGAUGUAUGGUCUUCAGUAAGACUAUGGAAUGACAUUUUUCCUUUUUUGAAACAGAGAUUUCUCAGGCCUUCAUUUCCUCUGAAGAUGUAAAACAUCUUAAAGGCUAUCCUGACAACAUUAGAAAAAACAGCUAUUGAUAAGAUUCCCCAUACUUGAGAAUAUUUUCAAGCCUACAUCUGACCUGCCUUUUGAGAUGGCUGGAACAGACCCAGAGCUAAAAGCAGGGAGUCUGCUGGGGGAAAGACGUGAAGCAGAGGGAGCUUCAGACUAAAGGUGCUGCAGUUCUGCUCACAUGCGCACUGCUGCUGAAACACAGCCUGUCCUCCCUCCUCCCAAAAAAACCUGUGCAUACAGCACAGUGUGAGAAUACAGCCAGGGACAAGGAGGUGUUUAAUUCCUUCGGAAACCAUUCUGCUGUUACACUGUAUCAGUUGCUUUGACAACGCACAGAGGGAGAGCUCUGUGCAGGCAAACAGAAGUUCCUACUGUUGUCCUUCAGGUUACAUGUGAACUCUCGCCAAGAAGGUUUUAAGGGAGAAUAGUGAACUCUGCUGUUUCCCUACACAAGUUUGUUUUAAAUCUGUCAUGCAUUACAGGAUUACAGGAUGUUACAUGGGAUAACCUGGUAUGAAUUAGCCUUUCUUCAGAUUGCUGCAUCAAUGAAAUAGUGUGCUCUUAAGCUGAAAUAGUGUGCUCUUAGUGUAGUGUCAAGAUUGAUCCUUCAUUUAAGUACAAUAUAAUAUUUGGGAUUUCUGGAGCCCGUUCCUUAUUCUGUGCUUUGUUUAUUAGUUGCCUCAGAGAAGAAGGAAACAUCGCCAGAAAAAGGACUGGAGAGCUCUCUCCUUAACAGAAUUUAAAGGAGCAGUCAUGUUCUGAUGGCUGUGUCUGGGCAGAGGUGGUACCAUGAAGAAUCCUGGCUAGCUGUGCCUAGUGAUAGAGGCCUGGAAAUGUUCUCAGGUCCACUGUAAACAUCGAUAUCCAGAACAUGUGACAUUUCUGUGUGCUUUUCAGAUGUGUGACCUGAAAUUCAAAAUGCAGGAAAGUACUCACUGAGGCUAGAUACUAAAAUCUUCUGAGUGCUUCAGAAAUUUGGUGCCAAUUGAAAAUCUUGCCAACUGAGAUAAUUAAAGCACAACAUUUUUGUUGCUUUGAUGCCUGGUGAAAUGCUUUUAUUUGUUAUUAAGAAUUCUUUUUGUAAAAGGAAGGGGAAAACCUCUAGAUGGGAGUCAGACAUAGUCACUUUUUGAUAGACAGUACAUUUCUGUGCUCUUAGGACUUUACAGAAGCAUAAAUUUGCAAAGCAGGGUUCAAAGACAGCCUACUCACAAUUGUCUGUAUUUUCAUAGCUGGGGUUCCUGAGGGCUAUGGAAAUGUAAGGCUUUAUCAGAGAUUACACUGGGCAGCAGUUGUAAAAAUCCAACUGGACCAUGUGUGUACCAAAGGCUUGCAAGCCCACAUCAGCAAACCCCAGGGCUCCUGCUCCUGGCCAUAGGUUGAGACACAUGGCAUAAUUCCAACAUUAUUCUCAAAGGAAUAUAAUCAAAAUGUAGUUGUUUUAAUUCCAUUAAAAGCUCAAGGCCAGUAGAGUGAAAUGUUAAGUGAAGCACUCCUUCUGUUUGGUUGCAUUACUGUUAAUGUAUUUCAUAAAGAUUCAAAGCAUAACUUUUGGAAGAUGUUCUCAUAAACAUGUUCCCUCCCCUAACCUAAAUAAGAAAUUUAAGGUUUAUUGCACUUAUGGAGAAACUCCAGCUCCAAAGAUUUUUAUUCUAUGCAGAUUUCUGUUCCCCCACCGUGGAUUAAGGACUUAGGGUAGGAAUAGCUGCCAAAUGGCUUUAUAGGUGUAUAUAAAUGAAUAAUGUUUAAUAUAGUUGAAACUCUGUAGGGGUAACUGUGAAGGACAUAAAAGGUAAAUCUUCCUUAAGCAAUUUUUUGCCAUGUACACUUACUUUUAAAUUCAGAUUUAAAUGAUUCAGGAAAGGGCUGUGAAGCUAAAUUUACUUUGGUGUCAUGAAGAUAUGUAAGCUUGCAUGAAAACUACUUCUGUUUUAUUUAAAAUUGGAGCUUUCAGUCAGUACUUGGAAAGCCUGGCUUCUGCUCCCAUUGGCUUCGCUGGGAUUUGGAUCCAGCCCAAAGUACUGCAGGAAGGUAAGGGAAAUGAUCUAGGUUUAAUUGUCCAUUCUGUUCAGAGUCUUGUGUUGUGGGGUUAGGAUAACAUGGCACUGUGAUGAAUGUUCAUCUGUCAAGAGUUCAAAAUCUGCUGUCUGUGCAUGGCAGUAAUUAAAUCACCUUAAUUGUUUUUUCAUGAUUCUUUCUGAGAGAGGGAAAAUUACUUGCCUUGGAUUAGCAUAUUGCCAAAGACUGUUAUAAAUAUUUAUGGGGAGUACUCUUUCAAUAGAAAGCCUGUACAUUCUUCACAGGUCUCCAUAGUUCUUUUUCCUGAAUACAGAAGAGUAGUUACUUUAAUGCACUAAUUACCAUCAUCUCCCCCUCUUGCAAAGCUUCAGUAGAUACUGGUUUAACAGCAAAAAAGGUAAGUCCUUUAGAAAGAAGCAUCUCUUGCAAAACAUAUUUAAUUAUCUCUGUAAGCUGUGGAAUCUUUUUGAAGGUGCAUAUGUUUAUGAAAUGGGUUUGUGAAUUCCAAAUUUUUUCCUUUUACCGUUGUAGAAAAUACAUGGUUUUGGAAGAA